UAUGCUGUGAAACCCAGCAAGUUAACCCCCUUCUGAAAUGUGGCCCCAACCAUGGAGUUUCUGUCUUAAACAGAGCCCUGGAGGGACCCAGCCUACUCCAAAGGGGAGAGUUUAUUCAUAACCUCGUGGACAAAGUUAAGAGAAACUAACUAGCAAUGAAUGGUCCGGAAUCCCCUGGAAAAUCAGAAAAAUGCUAUCUGCCCCUCUGAAGCCUGAGAGGUCAUCCAAGCUUGAGCUCAUUUCCAAAAGGAAAUAACGCCUGCCCCAAAUCUCCACCUGCCACGGCCACCUCUCUGGACCUCCAGCUGCCAGGGGCUGACAGUAAGUCACAGAAGCGCGUUGAUUUCUCAAGGGAAAGAUGAGCAAAGUGAAUGCAGAACUCCUCCAUGCACCGGAUGAAAAACCCUGUGCAGGAAGGCAAAUGAGAAGGAUCUUUCUGUUUGAUGACAGCAGUAACGAUGAUGGUGAGAGAGAUGAUCACAACCGUGAGAACAUUUGAAAACACAUCGGCGAACAUUCACGGGUCUUUCAAGCCUGGGUUCAAAUCUCACAUCUGCCGUUUACCAGCUGCCUGACCUUGGGCAAGCGAGCUAAUGUGUUCUGUUUUCUCAUCAUAAAUUAAAAAUAAC
Molecule: long non-coding RNA, 629 nt
Organism: Suricata suricatta (meerkat)
Lineage: Eukaryota; Metazoa; Chordata; Mammalia; Carnivora; Herpestidae
Exons: 3
Source: RefSeq, a predicted model, not a curated record